This 617-nucleotide ribosomal RNA is filed under the name uncultured Acremonium. RNAcentral's name for it is "eukaryotic LSU rRNA". The stretch from base 233 to 386 matches the Rfam family "5.8S ribosomal RNA". Lineage: Eukaryota; Fungi; Ascomycota. The record is from RNAcentral.
UCUUGGUCAUUUAGAGGAAGUAAAAGUCGUAACAAGGUCUCCGUUGGUGAACCAGCGGAGGGAUCAUUACUGAGUUAUCCAACUCCCAAACCCCUGUGAACAUACCUAUGUUGCUUCGGCGGGCCGUCCCGCGGCGCGCCCACGUGGCGUGACCCGGACCCAGGCGCCCGCCGGGGAACCAAACUCUUGUCUUCGAGUGCCUCCUCUGAGUGGCAUAAGCAAAAAUAAACAAAACUUUCAGCAACGGAUCUCUUGGUUCUGGCAUCGAUGAAGAACGCAGCGAAAUGCGAUAAGUAAUGUGAAUUGCAGAAUUCAGUGAAUCAUCGAAUCUUUGAACGCACAUUGCGCCCGCCAGUAUUCUGGCGGGCAUGCCUGUCUGAGCGUCAUUUCAACCCUCAGCCCCCGUUCGCGGGGCGCUGGCGUUGGGGCCCGGCCGUCCUCGCGGCGGCCGUCCCCGAAACACAGUGGCGGUCUCCCGCAGACUCCCCUGCGUAGUAGCACUACCUCGCAGAAGGGACGAGCGGGCUGGCCACGCCGUAAAACACCCCACUUCUCCAGGUUGACCUCAGAUCAGGUAUGAAUACCCGCUGAACUUAAGCAUAUCAAUAAGCGGAGGA